UACAGAGUAAAAUAAUCUUUAGUUUCAAAAAAGUAAAGCAGGUGUUCCUAUAGAAGAAUAGCUGCUGGGCUUUAUUUUGCAUGUUUUCAAAAGGCUGAAAGCUAUUUCUCUCAGGGAAGAAGGACCUUAUGACUGAGUUAAUCUUCAACCAUAAAAAUAACACUCUUCUUCAGUAAAAGUUUGGAUCCUUUUUGCAUGCCUAGAAUGAAUGCUCGCACUUCACAGUUGACCUCCAAAAAAGUAAAUGAAGAUUCUUCCUCAAGGUCUUUGAACAGCCGGUAGCUCUGUCUCUUUACCAUGCAGUGACUUGGGAAGCUCAAGAGCAAGGAAACUGAAGAAGCCCCAUUUCCUCAGAUUUUUGGACGGCUGAGAAGCCCACCUUCUGGGCGUCCUGGAAAAACCAUCACGUGAGCAUCUGUUUUGGAACCCGGAGCUGGGUUCUUGUGGGAUAAUUCAUAUGACAACACAGACUAAUCACAAGGGCCUUGUCAUUUAAACGCUCCAAUUACUUUUUUUCUGCAGCAGCUUCUGCUCUUCUCCGCAUCCCACAAUGCAUUCCAGGGCUACUAUGUUAAUUGGAAGUAUAUUCCUGUGCAUGAAGUGGACUUUAAUUAGCACCUGAGGGCACAUUCAGGUGUCCUGACUCACGUGGAGUGGAGGCGGAGCGGCGUGGCCCCACGGCAGCCUGUGGCUCAUGAGCAAAGGUGCUUCCUGGCCCUGAGCAGGUCUGGCUGCGAAGCUCCGAGCCACCCCGGGGGACAGGAGGCUCCGCCGACUCUCCGGCAUGCAGCGCCGUGGCCCGGGGCCCUGUAAAACAACAGCUGCACUAACGCUUCCAAUUAUUUUGCUCGACUAAUAAGUAAUAUGAGUGGCUCCAGAUUUUAAGUCUGUGAGCAAUGUAGGAACACUGUAAAAACCGGGAUUGCAGGCAGUCUUGUAAUAGAUUAAUAACCUUGACUCUUACGUGAGUCAUCUGUAAAAUGGGCCCUGAGUUAUGAAGACACACACCAACCGUGGGGGGUAUUGUGGAAAAUUAAUGUGACAUAAUACUGCCUCAGUGACAAUAAAAGUGCUGCAGCUGGAAGUGAUGGGGAAAGUGGGCGGGGCAUAACUCCACCUAUUAAUGUAAUUACAUCCACGCAGCUGGUUUCCAAAAGCAGGGUGCAAAUUGGUUUCAGCCCGGUAUCAGCACCUCCUGCCAGCCACGCAGCGAGACAGCCAUGAGCAGACAUCCCGGCUCCUGCUCCAUGGGAUGAAGCUGGCAGCCAGGGUGCAAGGAAACAAAAGGCUCUGAUUAAAACAAAAAGCCUAGUCGGCAGGUUCUGUGAUCAGUACAUAGUAAGUCUUUUUUUUUUUUUUUUUUUUCCUUAAUGCUAUUAAUUGCCUUUCAAAGCCCUUACAAAAUGUGCUUCCCUAAUGAUAGAAAACAUCCCCCCAAGCAUCAGUUCUCUGGCUCUUUCCUUGUUCUAAACCCACAUGCACUCAAAACCCUCACCUGGAGGACUGUGGGUGCACAUGUCACUGAAUAUGGCUUCUUUGGUGUUUACUACAGAAUGAUGUGUGUCACUGUCCCUUCCAUGGACACCAUAUGGUGAUCCCAGCAGGAGGGACCAGGGCCAAGUUAUAAAUCACCUGGGCAGCGUCCCAGUUGUGCUAUCUCUCAGAGGCAUGUCCUGCCCAUAGUGAUGAUUUGGGAUUAAAAUGUCAGCAAGCACUUCAUGAAAGUUGUUAUCUAUUAAUUAUUUCAUAACUCCAUAGAGUAUUUAUGAAAAUAUGCUGUAAAGAGUUAUUCAGACUUGAGAAUUGUUAUCUUAAUUAUGCUUGGACUGGAAAAAUAAUUACAGUGCACUGAGGUUAGGGAUCUCUUCUGAAUGAGCUCAGUGGUACUAAAAUAUUUUUAAAUGCUUUAAAGUGAGGAGAGAGACGAAGUUAUUUAAACACAAGGUCCCGGCUAAAACUAUUCUAUGCAACAUGUGCAUCACAAAUGUAAUAUAGAAAUAUAUGUAAACUAAAAGGUGACACAUUUUAACACACUUCUUUUUCCCGUAUUAUCAAAACGUUGUGCAGAAUUUUAUCAACACCAAAUCUAUUUUAUAUUGUUAAAAGACAGUAAGAUGUUUUAAAAUAUAGCAUUGUUAGCUUUAAAUGUAAAACCUGGUAUAAGUCCUAUAAUGCGAAAAGACUGCGUAUCUGCCAAUGAAGAGAAAACCAAUCCUUAAAUAUUCUUCUACAUUUUGCAAAUUAUACACUAGAUAUAUUUUGUAAAUGAAAUAACUGUCCCGCGUACAUCCUGCUGGGAGAGGAAUUGCCAUCUACGAUAGAUUUCUUCUGGCCAAAUAACCCUUAGCAUGGA
Tyto alba (common barn owl) is the source of this 2353-nucleotide long non-coding RNA. RefSeq lists it as uncharacterized. NCBI's taxonomy places the organism in Eukaryota, Metazoa, Chordata, Aves, Strigiformes, Tytonidae. The transcript is spliced from 2 exons. The record is from RefSeq and is a predicted model, not a curated record.